This 400-nucleotide ribosomal RNA is filed under the name uncultured bacterium. Its description in RNAcentral is "bacterial SSU rRNA". It matches the Rfam family "Bacterial small subunit ribosomal RNA", at positions 355 to 772 of the family's 1533-position model. The record is from RNAcentral.
UCGGGAAUUUUGGGCAAUGGGCGAAAGCCUGACCCAGCAACGCCGCGUGAAGGAUGAAGUAUUUCGGUAUGUAAACUUCGAAAGAAUAGGAAGAAUAAAUGACGGUACUAUUUAUAAGGUCCGGCUAACUACGUGCCAGCAGCCGCGGUAAUACGUAGGGACCAAGCGUUGUUCGGAUUUACUGGGCGUAAAGGGCGCGUAGGCGACGUGGUAAGUCAUCUGUGAAAUCUCCGAGCUUAACUCGGAACGGUCAGAUGAUACUGCUGUGCUAGAGUACAGAAAGGGCAAUCGGAAUUCUUGGUGUAGCGGUGAAAUGCGUAGAUAUCAAGAGGAACACCUGAGGUGAAGACGGGUUGCUGGGCUGACACUGACGCUGAGGCGCGAAAGCCAGGGGAGCAAA